GACUAUGGCCAUAUCACCCUGAAUGCUUCUGAUCUUGGAAGCUAAGCAGGGUUGGUCUAGGUUAAUACGUGGAUGGAAGACCGCCUGGGAAUACUGCGUGCUGUGCUUU
Vulpes vulpes (red fox) is the source of this 109-nucleotide ribosomal RNA. Lineage: Eukaryota; Metazoa; Chordata; Mammalia; Carnivora; Canidae. The record is from Ensembl.